RNAcentral lists this long non-coding RNA (289 nucleotides) under Gallus gallus (chicken). The record is from RNAcentral. Lineage: Eukaryota; Metazoa; Chordata; Aves; Galliformes; Phasianidae.
UACGCCGCCUGAGAUGUGCUGUCUUUGUGAGGAACUAAAUUUAAACAAGACUUUGGAGAAGACUUGGGGUGCUUUGGAGAAGCUCUGCUCCAGGAAUUCAGGCAGUGAUGUCUCCAGAGCAGCUCUCAGCGUGCUGCAGUUUGAACCUCAGAGGGAAUGCUUUGGGGCUUUGGCGGUGGCGUUGCAUGCUGCUGGGUGCUCUGCUCCCCCACCGUGUUGGGACCACUGCAAUGCGCCGAUGUUUGCUCAGUGCUGAACAUGCUUUGAAACUCAGGCAUGGGAACGGGUA